Molecule: ribosomal RNA, 119 nt
Filed under: Triticum aestivum (bread wheat)
Lineage: Eukaryota; Viridiplantae; Streptophyta; Magnoliopsida; Poales; Poaceae
Source: RNAcentral
GGAUGCGAUCAUACCAGCACUAAAGCACCGGAUCCCAUCAGAACACUGAAGUUAAGCGUGCUUGGGCGAGAGUAGUACUAGGAUGGGUGACCUCCUGGGAAGUCCUCGUGUUGCAUUCC